Molecule: ribosomal RNA, 1004 nt
Filed under: Botryosphaeria dothidea
Lineage: Eukaryota; Fungi; Ascomycota; Dothideomycetes; Botryosphaeriales; Botryosphaeriaceae
Description: SSU rRNA
Rfam family: Eukaryotic small subunit ribosomal RNA
Source: RNAcentral
CUGCGAAUGGCUCAUUAAAUCAGUUAUCGUUUAUUUGAUAGUACCUUACUACUUGGAUAACCGUGGUAAUUCUAGAGCUAAUACAUGCUAAAAACCCCGACUUCGGGAGGGGUGUAUUUAUUAGAUAAAAAACCAAUGCCCUUCGGGGCUCUUUGGUGAUUCAUGAUAACUUAACGAAUCGCAUGGCCUUGCGCCGGCGAUGGUUCAUUCAAAUUUCUGCCCUAUUAACUUUCGAUGGUAGGAUAGAGGCCUACCAUGGUAUCAAUGGGUAACGGGGAAUUAGGGUUCUAUUCCGGAGAGGGAGCCUGAGAAACGGCUACCACAUCCAAGGAAGGCAGCAGGCGCGCAAAUUACCCAAUCCCGACACGGGGAGGUAGUGACAAUAAAUACUGAUACAGGGCUCUUUUGGGUCUUGUAAUUGGAAUGAGUACAAUUUAAAUACCUUAACGAGGAACAAUUGGAGGGCAAGUCUGGUGCCAGCAGCCGCGGUAAUUCCAGCUCCAAUAGCGUAUAUUAAAGUUGUUGCAGUUAAAAAGCUCGUAGUUGAACCUUGGGCCUGGCUGGCCGGUCCGCCUCACCGCGUGUACUGGUCCGGCCGGGCCUUUCCUUCUGGGGAUCCGCAUGGCCUUCACUGGCUGUGUCGGGGAACCAGGACUUUUACUUUGAAAAAAUUAGAGUGUUCAAAGCAGGCCUUUGCUCGAAUACAUUAGCAUGGAAUAAUAGAAUAGGACGUGCGGUCCUAUUUUGUUGGUUUCUAGGACCGCCGUAAUGAUUAAUAGGGAUAGUCGGGGGCAUCAGUAUUCAAUUGUCAGAGGUGAAAUUCUUGGAUUUAUUGAAGACUAACUACUGCGAAAGCAUUUGCCAAGGAUGUUUUCAUUAAUCAGUGAACGAAAGUUAGGGGAUCGAAGACGAUCAGAUACCGUCGUAGUCUUAACCGUAAACUAUGCCGACUAGGGAUCGGGCGAUGUUAUUCUUUUGACUCGCUCGGCACCUUACGAGAAAUC